RNAcentral lists this transfer RNA (72 nucleotides) under Spirochaetaceae bacterium. RNAcentral describes it as "tRNA-Met". It matches the Rfam family "tRNA". Rfam says of the family: Transfer RNA (tRNA) molecules are approximately 80 nucleotides in length. The record is from RNAcentral. Lineage: Bacteria; Pseudomonadati; Spirochaetota; Spirochaetia; Spirochaetales; Spirochaetaceae.
AGCAGGGUGGAGCAAUGGCAGCUUGCCGGUCUCAUAAGCCGGAGGUUCCGGGUUCGAGUCCCGGCCCUGCCA